GAAGCGGCAACAGCUCAAAUUUGAAAUCUGGCCUCUUUCGGGGUCCGAGUUGUAAUUUGUAGAGGAUGCUUCGGGUACGGCGGCGGUCUAAGUUCUUUGGAACAGGACGUCAUGGAGGGUGAGAAUCCCGUGUGGGACCGCCCGCCACGCCCAUGUGAAGCGCCUUCGACGAGUCGAGUUGUUUGGGAAUGCAGCUCUAAAUGGGUGGUAAAUUUCAUCUAAAGCUAAAUACCGGCCAGAGACCGAUAGCGCACAAGUAGAGUGAUCGAAAGAUGAAAAGCACUUUGGAAAGAGAGUUAAAAAGCAUGUGAAAUUGUUGAAAGGGAAGCGCUUGCAACCAGACUUGUCUCCGGGUGUUCACCCGGUGUUCUCACCGGGGCACUCGCCCGGGAGCAGGCCAGCAUCGGUUCGGGCGGUCGGAUAAAGGCCCACGGAAUGUAGCUUCCUUCGGGGAGUGUUAUAGCCGGGGGUGCAAUGCGACCCGCCUGGACCGAGGGACGCGCUUCGGCACGGAUGCUGGCGUAAUGGUUGUAAGCGACCCGUCUUGAAACACGGACCAAGGAGUGGAACAUCUAUGCGAGUGUUUGGGUGUCAAACCCACACGCGGAAUGAAAGUGAACGGAGGUGGGAGCCCUCGGGCGCACCAUCGACCGAUCCUGAAGUCUUCGGAUGGAUUUGAGUAAGAGCAUAGCUGUUCCGACCCGAAAGAUGGUGAUCUAUGCCUGAAUAGGGUGAAGCCAGAGGAAACUCUGGUGGAGGCUCGCAGCGGUUCUGACGUGCAAAUCGAUCGUCAAAUU
This 797-nucleotide ribosomal RNA is filed under the name Mycocaliciaceae sp. Its description in RNAcentral is "partial 28S ribosomal RNA". It matches the Rfam family "Eukaryotic large subunit ribosomal RNA", at positions 95 to 911 of the family's 3401-position model. The record is from RNAcentral. Lineage: Eukaryota; Fungi; Ascomycota; Eurotiomycetes; Mycocaliciales; Mycocaliciaceae.